This 704-nucleotide long non-coding RNA is filed under the name Cyanistes caeruleus (blue tit). RNAcentral describes it as "lncRNA (ENSCCEG00000008627.1)". Lineage: Eukaryota; Metazoa; Chordata; Aves; Passeriformes; Paridae. The record is from RNAcentral.
UGGGUGUAGUCUGAAUUUUAUUUUAAUUUAUUUUUCAUCAUUUCACAGACUCCUGGGACAUUUUAAGUAUGGAUCAAGUCAAGACAAACAUGAGAUGCCUUGGUUGCUUGUCUGUAAAAAGGACCUGCCACAUUACCUGUAAUGUUGCAGAUGUUGGAGUCCCAACCCCAUGCGUCCCACUGGUCUGGAAUAACAUUUGGAGUCUGGCAGUCUGGUCCCUUUUGUAGCUCCAGAGGAUUUUUGGAGCAUGGGGAGCAUGGGAUGCAUGGAUGUACGGACCCACAAAACCCUCUGGAGAAUGCUGGCUGUGGAAAAAAGCAUCUGGAAGUUUCUACCAUCUUUUUACCCUGUUUUUUCCUGGCUCACCCUGUGUCAUUUGUGGCCCUGUCCUGAGGAUUAUAGCAUGCAGUCACUUACUGGAAUACCUCCCCAUGCAUCUUCUUGAAACGGAGCCAUUGCUUUACCCAGCUGGAAGAUAUUUUCUCUUCUCCCAGGGCUUUUCCAGUGCAGCAGCACUCCUGUCCAGCAGUCUUUGCAGAUCUCUGCUCCUGCCUGUGGCUGAAGCAACACUGCAAUGGGUCUCGGUUGACUGCAGAAAGGAGAAGGGAGGAGCAUGUCAAAGGGAGGUCAGAUCCUGCCAGGGUUUCCUGGGAAAUGAGGUUUCGCUGUAUUUUGCCUCUUCGGGGCUGAUGGGAGGAUUGUAG